GACGAACGCUCGUUGCGUGCUUAACACAUGCAAGUCGAACGGAAAGGCCCUGCUUUUGUGGGGUGCUCGAGUGGCGAACGGGUGAGUAACACGUGAGUAACCUGCCCUUGACUUUGGGAUAACUUCAGGAAACUGGGGCUAAUACCGGAUAGGAGCUCCUGCUGCAUGGUGGGGGUUGGAAAGUUUCGGCGGUUGGGGAUGGACUCGCGGCUUAUCAGCUUGUUGGUGGGGUAGUGGCUUACCAAGGCUUUGAUGGGUAGCCGGCCUGAGAGGGUGACCGGCCACAUUGGGACUGAGAUACGGCCCAGACUCCUACGGGAGGCAGCAGUGGGGAAUAUUGCACAAUGGGCGGAAGCCUGAUGCAGCAACGCCGCGUGCGGGAUGACGGCCUUCGGGUUGUAAACCGCUUUCGCCUGUGACGAAGCGUGAGUGACGGUAAUGGGUAAAGAAGCACCGGCUAACUACGUGCCAGCAGCCGCGGUGAUACGUAGGGUGCGAGCGUUGUCCCGAUUUAUUGGGCGUAAAGGGCUCGUAGGUGGUUGAUCGCGUCGGAAGUGUAAUCUUGGGGCUUUACCCUGAGCGUGCUUUCGAUACGGGUUGACUUGAGGAAGUUAGGGGAGAAUGGAGUUCCUGGUGGAGCGGUGGAAUGCGCAGAUAUCAGGAGGAACACCAGUGGCGAAGGCGGUUCUCUGGGCCUUUCCUGACGCUGAGGAGCGAAAGCGUGGGGAGCGAACAGGCUUAGAUACCCUGGUAGUCCACGCUGUAAACGGUGGGUACUAGGUGUGGGGUCCAUUCCACGGGUUCCGUGCCGUAGCUAACGCUUUAAGUACCCCGCCUGGGGAGUACGGCCGCAAGGCUAAAACUCAAAGGAAUUGACGGGGCCCCGCACAAGCGGCGGAGCAUGCGGAUUAAUUCGAUGCAACGCGUAGAACCUUACCUGGGUUUGACAUGGAUCGGGAGUGCUCAGAGAUGGGUGUGCCUCUUUUGGGGUCGGUUCACAGGUGGUGCAUGGCUGUCGUCAGCUCGUGUCGUGAGAUGUUGGGUUAAGUCCCGCAACGAGCGCAACCCUUGUUCACUGUUGCCAGCACGUUAUGGUGGGGACUCAGUGGAGACCGCCGGGGUCAACUCGGAGGAAGGUGGGGAUGACGUCAAGUCAUCAUGCCCCUUAUGUCCAGGGCUUCACGCAUGCUACAAUGGCUGGUACAGAGAGUGGCGAGCCUGUGAGGGUGAGCGAAUCUCGGAAAGCCGGUCUCAGUUCGGAUUGGGGUCUGCAACUCGACCUCAUGAAGUCGGAGUCGCUAGUAAUCGCAGAUCAGCAACGCUGCGGUGAAUACGUUCCCGGGGCU
RNAcentral lists this ribosomal RNA (1346 nucleotides) under uncultured bacterium. Its description in RNAcentral is "partial 16S ribosomal RNA". It matches the Rfam family "Bacterial small subunit ribosomal RNA", at positions 28 to 1381 of the family's 1533-position model. The record is from RNAcentral.